Molecule: RNA transcript, 2816 nt
Organism: Salvia hispanica
Lineage: Eukaryota; Viridiplantae; Streptophyta; Magnoliopsida; Lamiales; Lamiaceae
Gene name: putative late blight resistance protein homolog R1C-3
Source: RefSeq, a predicted model, not a curated record
UCAGUCUCCUUUGAAUCUUCCAAAACAGAUAAGAAAUCCAUCCAUGGCAGCAGCUUUCGCAGCUCUAGUUUCUCAAAGAAUAAUCUGCGCCUUAUCUACUAUCACCCCUACCAUUCCUUUCACUUUGAGGAAAAACAGAUUCAAUCCCUUGGAAAAAGUGUCCGUUUCCUGAUCGAUUUCAUGAAAAGCUACGACAAUUCUCAUGGAGCCACAAAAGAAGCCGCAGAAGCUUUAGAGAUGCAAAUUGCGGAAGAUGUGAUCGAAUCACACAUGGAUCAGAUCCGUAGUGGAAAGACAAGAUCAUCUCGUGUCCUGCUUGAUCUGCAGAAAGCAAUCGAAGACAUGGAUUACAUGAGUAGAAAGACUUUAAAAGUGAGAGCGCGAAGUGAAAGGGGUCAUCAGCAGCAGCAGAGCACAUAUCAACACCUCUCGCCUUUACCAUGGUCGGAUUUGAUGAAAUCCUGCAUCAACUUCUGGAUCUGCUGACUGGAGUUCCCUCUAGUCGGCGAGUCAUCCCCAUCUACGCUUGCUACAAAUGCAUUUCAACAUAAAUAUAUCGUGGAACACUUUGAUGUUUGCCUCUGGGCCACAAUAUCUCAAGAGUAUAACCUUCACAAAAUUCUGUCUGAGCUCGAAAAUCCAAUACUGGAACUAUUGGUGAGUUGUAAGAAAGAUUAUACAAGAGUUUACGUGGGCCAAGGUAUUUGAUUGUUCUAGAUGAUAUGUGGAAUGUUAAAGCUGCUAUUCCUGUUUCCGGAUACAAACAAUGGAAGUCGAAUUGUUGUGACUACUAGGCAUUCAGAUGUAGCCGAACAUUUAGGCGUUUCUCCUGUUGCAAUGAGUUUUCUAGAUGAGGACAGUAGUUGGCAAUUAUUUUGUCAAAAUGCAUUUGCAAAGCAGCGAAGUUGCCCUCCUGAGUUGGAGGAGACUGCAAAGAAGAUAGUUGCAAAGUGCAAAGGACUUCCCCUUGCAAUUGUUGUUGUCGGAGGUCAUCUCAGAAAAUCAUCAAUGGCUCUAGACCACUGGGAGCAUGUUGCAGAAUCAAUUUUCAAUCCCACGGGGAGCGAUGAACAAUGCUUGAAUGUAUUAUCUUUGAGUUAUAGCUACUUUCCUGUUCAUCUGAAGCCAUGUUUCCUAUUCAUCGGAGCAUUUCCAGAAGAUGAAAUUAUCAAUGCUCGGGAUGUUUUACAACAGGGCGAAUGGCCCAACUUGGAAGAUGCCGCAAAGUAUUGUUUAUGGGAUCUCUAUAUGAGAAAUCUCAUUUUAGUUGACCAGUGGUACCACCUUGAUGAAAUCUAUACAUUCAAAGUACAUGAUCUAGUAAGAGAAAUGUGCCUAAAGAUUGACAAGGAGGAGGAGUUUUUAUAUGUGUUUCAAACACCACGAGCCAUAAAUAGAGAGCGCAGAGUUGUAAUCAACGGAGAGGUGAAUCAUGAAGCAAUAGCAUCUGAUGCUCCAAUCCGUUGUGUGAUAUGGGAAAGGGGUCAUUACGACAUCAACAAUUUGUAUGAACUGAAACUGUUGAGAACAUUGUGUAUCGUUGCUACCACAUCAACAAGCGGGUCUAUUUUUCAGCAACAUAACUUGCGGUAUCUUAAGGUUGAUUUUGGUUACACGAUUCGCCCAACCCUUUAUUAUCUCCCGUCAUCAAUGUCAAUGCUUUGGAAUCUGCAAAUUGUACAAUUAAUAUAGCAUAUCAAUCAAAACUGAUUGCACCCUAUGAGAUUUGGGAGAUUUGUCUCAUUGAUCCUCUUCUAGUGGAUAGAUUAGACCAAGAAAAUCACUUGGUAAUGAGAAAUCUACGCACACUUUUUAGAGUGGAGAAUUUUAGGCUCAGUGAUGAGGUUUACAAGAGAAUCCCGAAUGUCAGAGAACUGCAGUUAUCCUAUUGUGAUGAAGUAAGUUUGUAUUACUGUCCCCGCAAUCUUAGCUGUUUCAAUCAAUCGAAAGUCCUAUGGUUGCACUUCGAUGACAAUUCCAAGUGGCGUGAGUUUUUUAUGAGCCUCACUUUCCCAACCACGCUUGAGAUGUUACGUUUACGUGGUUGUGGUGUUCAUUGGGAAGAUUUGACAAUGAUGGUUGGAUCAUUGCCCCAUUUUUUUGAGCUUCAGUUAUAUUGGAAUUCAGUCAUUGGACCUAUUUGGAACCCUAUAGAGGAGAAAUUUCUUAGAUUGAAAUACUUGACUAUAUUUGGGUGUGAUGAUUUAGUUUAUUGGAAUGCAAACAAAUGUCAUUUUCCGGUGCUCAAAGGUCUUUAUCUUGGAUUUUUGUGUAAAUUGGAUGAGUUCCCUUCAAGUAUAGGAGAAAUAGCAACACCCAAGUAUAUUGAGUUGAGAUUUUGCAGCCAAUCUUCUACCAUUUCAGCAAUGAGAACAUUGGUAGAACAAGAGGAGCAAGGUAAUGACAACCUUCGACUUGAUGUAUUAUUUCAGGGUGAUGAGGAAACACUUAAGAGCUUCAAGCACGAGGUUCAAGAAGAGGGUCUUACAAGCAUUAAUCUAUCUCUGCAUCUCGUGAGAUCCUGAUAACUUCCAUUUCAAUGUGAUACUGGACAUUUCCGCUACUCCUUCUGGCUGACCCCUAGUCCGAUAAGAAUUAAAUCUUAUCGGGCCGGAGCAGAGUCGCGGAUGUUGUGGGGUCAGCUCAUCGGCCAUGGAAGACGUUUCCUAGCAGUUAUUGGGGACCGGUGAUGGAUCAACCAACCCCCAAUCCAACUUAACUCUCACAGUCACUUACAUAUUUUGGCAAGUAACUUAUCUAUCUCCAAAUUAUCUUGUACAUUCUCCAAACUCAAAUUUCAAGAAUAAAAGCCAAAA